CUUAGGCCCCACACACCUGUGCAGGCAAGUUGUUUACACUCUUCAGCGUAGACGGAUCGAAGCAAGAGGGUAGAUAGGUGGCUUCGAAAAUAUAUAACUUCAACAUGCUAACUUUUUGCUUAGUCAGCAGGCUUGGAAAAAGUUGUUGUUCAGAGCCAGCACUUCAGGCGGUUGCACUAGGGCGGAAUGGGUCGCUUUGCGGCUGUUCCUUUUCGUAGUCCAUUAGGCGCCAGCUGGGAGUCCCAGGAAUGCGGACAAAAUGUCUUGCUUAAAACUCGGUACAACUUAAGAAAAACAUCACACACAUUUUACAAAAAUAAAAGAUCAGUUGUAGUUGGCUCCACUUUCAGGACAUACAGAAGGUUCCAGGUUCAAUCUUCAUUUGGGGCUGGGAAAAACUCCAUGUGUGAAAUCCUGGAGAGCUGUUGCCAGUCAGUGUAGACAAUACUGAGCUACAUGGACCAAUUGUCUGACUCAAUAUAAGGCAGCUUGCUAUGUUCUUAUGUAAGGCAGCAAUGGAAACCAACUAUUGUAUGUUGCAUUAGUGGCCUAUCCAAGAUUCUGUUUUUGAAACACAUUGUUCCUAAGGUUUCCAUGUGGAGUGCAAGACUACCCUGUUUAGUUACAUGUUUAAUAAAGUUAUCUUACAUCAA
Molecule: non-coding RNA, 653 nt
Organism: Podarcis muralis (Common wall lizard)
Lineage: Eukaryota; Metazoa; Chordata; Lepidosauria; Squamata; Lacertidae
Source: RefSeq, a predicted model, not a curated record